This 428-nucleotide ribosomal RNA is filed under the name uncultured bacterium. RNAcentral's name for it is "bacterial SSU rRNA". It matches the Rfam family "Bacterial small subunit ribosomal RNA", at positions 355 to 776 of the family's 1533-position model. The record is from RNAcentral.
UGGGGAAUAUUGGACAAUGGGCGAAAGCCUAAUCCAACAAUACCACGUGUAUAAAAAAAACCUUAAAAUUAUAAAGCACUUUCAAUUAAAAGGAAAAACUCAUAACCAAUACCCAUAAGCUUGACAUUACCUUUAGAAGAAGCACCGGCUAACUCCAUACCAGCAGCCGCGAUAAUACAAAAAAUGCGAGCGUUAAUCGGAAUUACUGGGCGUAAAGCGUGCGUAGGCGGCUCGUUAAGUCAGAUGUGAAAGCCCUGGGCUCAACCUGGGAACGGCAUUUGAAACUGGCGAGCUAGAGUUUGGGAGAGGAGAGUGGAAUUUCAGGUGUAGCGGUGAAAUGCGUAGAGAUCUGAGGGAACACCAGUGGCGAAGGCGACUCUCUGGCCUAAAACUGACGCUGAGGUACGAAAGCGUGGGUAGCAAACAGG